This 1174-nucleotide ribosomal RNA is filed under the name metagenome. RNAcentral's name for it is "bacterial SSU rRNA". It matches the Rfam family "Bacterial small subunit ribosomal RNA", at positions 333 to 1498 of the family's 1533-position model. The record is from RNAcentral.
AGACUCCUACGGGAGGCAGCAGUAGGGAAUAUUGGACAAUGGGCGAAAGCCUGAUCCAGCAACGCCGCGUGGAUGACGAAGCAUCUUGGUGUGUAAAAUCCUGUCAGUGGGGACGAAACGUAGAGGUAGGAAAUGACCUUUACCUGAAUGUACCCGCAGGGGAAGCUCCGGCCAACUCCGUGCCAGCAGCCGCGGUAAUACGGGGGGAACGAGCGUUGUUCGGAUUUACUGGGCGUAAAGGGCACGCAGGUGGGAAAAUAAGUCAGAUGUGAAACCCCAAAGCUUAACUCUGGGACUGCAUUUGAUACUGUUUUUCUUGAGUACGAGAGAGGAUGGCAGAAUUCUUGGUGUAGCGGUGAAAUGCGUAGAUAUCAAGAAGAAUACCGGUGGCGAAGGCGGCCAUCUGGCUCGAUACUGACGCUCAGGUGCGAAGGUCGGGGGAGCAAACAGGAUUAGAUACCCUGGUAGUCCCGACAGUAAACGAUGGGAACUAGGUGUUGGAGGUAUCGACCCCUCCAGUGCCGCAGCUAACGCAUUAAGUUCCCCGCCUGGGGAGUACGAUCGCAAGAUUGAAACUCAAAGGAAUUGACGGGGGCCCGCACAAGCAGUGGAGUAUGUGGUUUAAUUCGACGCAACGCGAAGAACCUUACCUGGGUUUGACAUGCAGGAGAAAGCAUCAGAGAUGAUGCCCCGGCUUCGGUCGCUGCUGCACAGGUGCUGCAUGGCUGUCGUCAGCUCGUGCCGUGAGGUGUUGGGUUAAGUCCCGCAACGAGCGCAACCCCUAUCCUUAGUUGCUAUUCUGUCAAAAGAGGCACCCUAAGGAGACUGCCGGUGGUAAGCCGGAGGAAGGUGGGGAUGAGGUCAAGUCAUCAUGGCCCUUACGUCCAGGGCUACACACGUACUACAAUGGUCGGUACAGAAGGCUGCAAGACCGCAAGGUGGAGCCAAUCCCGAAAACCGACCUCAGUUCAGAUUGAAGUCUGCAACUCGACUUCAUGAAGGUGGAAUUGCUAGUAAUCGCAGAUCAGCACGCUGCGGUGAAUACGUUCCCGGGCCUUGUACACACCGCCCGUCAAGCCAUGGAAGCUGGGAGUACCCGAAGCCGUUUGCCUAACCGCAAGGAGGGCGACGUCUAAGGUAAGACCGGUGACUGGGGCUAAGUCGUAACAAGGUA